Molecule: ribosomal RNA, 267 nt
Filed under: uncultured Glomus
Lineage: Eukaryota; Fungi; Glomeromycota; Glomeromycetes; Glomerales; Glomeraceae
Description: partial small subunit ribosomal RNA
Rfam family: Eukaryotic small subunit ribosomal RNA
Source: RNAcentral
UAAAGUUGUUGCAGUUAAACAGCUCGUAGUUGAAUUUCGGGGCCAGUUGGUUGGUCGUGCCUAUGGUAUGUACUGGCCUACUGGUUCCUCCUUCUUGAAGAACCGUAAUGUCAUUAAUUUGGUGUUGCGGGGAAACAGGACUGUUACUUUGAAAAAAUUAGAGUGCUUAAAGCAGGCUAACGCCUGAAUACAUUAGCAUGGAAUAAUGAAAUAGNACGUUUGAUCUUAUUUUGUUGGUUUCUAGGAUUGACGUAAUGAUUAAUAGGG